Molecule: long non-coding RNA, 779 nt
Organism: Sarcophilus harrisii (Tasmanian devil)
Lineage: Eukaryota; Metazoa; Chordata; Mammalia; Dasyuromorphia; Dasyuridae
Exons: 2
Source: RefSeq, a predicted model, not a curated record
AUGUUGAAAACUAUCUUUACAUGUAUUUAGAAAAAUAAAACACUACUAGUUAUAACCCACCCAACCCCCAACCAUCUCAAGGAUUGUCUACCUGUAUUAUCAGCAUAAUAUCUGGCACAAAGUAGAUACUAGAUAAAUAUUGCUAAUUAUUAACAUGGAAAGGUAAAUGCAGGAAUUACUAAGCUGCUUCUCUGAACCCAUCUCUUCCUCCUCCCCUUCUCAAUACCCCCCAACUCCCCUCCCCCACUUUAUAUUUAUUUCAAAACUUUAAGGAUCCAGAAUCUUGUCAGCAUGGGCAAUUGCGAAUCCACCCACGUGGAUCACAAUGUUUUUAUGACUUAACAAAUAAACUUCAAGAACCAACGUGGAUCAAGAAGUUCAUCCAGUGGACAAACUUUGGUGAUAAGUCUUUCCAAAUUUAGCCAGGCUGAUCCUCAGAUAAGAAGUACAAUCCUACUCAAAACCUCUUUAGGAUUGGUAGGACCUGACGAUACUUGAUCUGUACCUGAUGUCACCUUCGCAUCAAGAAGAGACACUGAAAAAGGACCAAUGGAGGUUUCUGCUUUACCCACAUUGGAAAAUAAAAAAUAUGUCCAUCAAAGUUGAUCCUGAAGAAGAGGGGAGAGAAUGCACCUUACUCCUUUCUCUCCAAGGAUGGAGGACUUCAGGUAUGGCACACUACUUACAUCUUAACUGAUUUGCUCACUCUUUGUUAUGAUGGAUAAUUUUCUGGGUAGGAAAGUAGGGAGGAAAUGUCAAAACAAAGAUAUCAAUAAAAA